CCUACGGGUGGCAGCAGUCGAGAAUCAUUCACAAUGGGGGAAACCCUGAUGGUGCGACGCCGCGUGGGGGAAUGAAGGUCUUCGGAUUGUAAACCCCUGUCAUGUGGGAGCAAAUUAAAAAGAUAGUACCACAAGAGGAAGAGACGGCUAACUCUGUGCCAGCAGCCGCGGUAAUACAGAGGUCUCAAGCGUUGUUCGGAAUCACUGGGCGUAAAGCGUGCGUAGGCUGUUUCGUAAGUCGUGUGUGAAAGGCGCGGGCUCAACCCGCGGACGGCACAUGAUACUGCGAGAAUAGAGUAAGGGAGGGGGAACCGGAAGUCUCGGUGUAGCAGUGAAAUGCGUAGAUAUCGAGAGGAACACUCGUGGCGAAGGCGGGUUCCUGGACAUUAACUGACGCUGAGGCACGAAGGCCAGGGGAGCGAAAGGGAUUAGAUACCCUAGUAGUC
RNAcentral lists this ribosomal RNA (446 nucleotides) under uncultured bacterium. RNAcentral's name for it is "partial 16S ribosomal RNA". It matches the Rfam family "Bacterial small subunit ribosomal RNA", at positions 338 to 795 of the family's 1533-position model. The record is from RNAcentral.